GACCUGUUAGUUCAGUGGUAGAAUAUCUGACUGUCUAUCAGAAGGUCAUGGGUUCGAGUCCCAUACAGGUCGCCA
Molecule: transfer RNA, 75 nt
Filed under: Alkaliphilus sp. B6464
Lineage: Bacteria; Bacillati; Bacillota; Clostridia; Peptostreptococcales; Natronincolaceae
Description: tRNA-Asp
Rfam family: tRNA
About the family: Transfer RNA (tRNA) molecules are approximately 80 nucleotides in length. Their secondary structure includes four short double-helical elements and three loops (D, anti-codon, and T loops).
Source: RNAcentral